Molecule: ribosomal RNA, 253 nt
Filed under: uncultured bacterium
Lineage: Bacteria
Description: partial 16S ribosomal RNA
Rfam family: Bacterial small subunit ribosomal RNA
Source: RNAcentral
UACAGAGGGUGCGAGCGUUGUCCGGAAUUACUGGGCGUAAAGGGCGCGUAGGCGGCCUUCUAAGUCGAACGUGAAAUCCCCGGGCUCAACCCGGGAACUGCGUCCGAUACUGGAAGGCUUGAAUCCGGGAGAGGGAUGCGGAAUUCCAGGUGUAGCGGUGAAAUGCGUAGAUAUCUGGAGGAACACCGGUGGCGAAGGCGGCAUCCUGGACCGGCAUUGACGCUGAGGCGCGAAAGCCAGGGGAGCAAACGGG